Molecule: ribosomal RNA, 379 nt
Filed under: uncultured Actinomycetes bacterium
Lineage: Bacteria; Bacillati; Actinomycetota; Actinomycetes
Description: bacterial SSU rRNA
Rfam family: Bacterial small subunit ribosomal RNA
Source: RNAcentral
UAAUACGUAGGGCGCAAGCGUUGUCCGGAUUUAUUGGGCGUAAAGGGCUCGUAGGCGGUUCGGUAAGUCGGGUGUGAAAACUCAGGGCUCAACCCUGAGACGCCACUCGAUACUGCCAUGACUAGAGUCCGGUAGAGGAGUGCGGAAUUCCUGGUGUAGCGGUGAAAUGCGCAGAUAUCAGGAGGAACACCGACAGCGAAGGCAGCACUCUGGGCCGGUACUGACGCUGAGGAGCGAAAGCGUGGGGAGCAAACAGGAUUAGAUACCCUGGUAGUCCACGCCGUAAACGUUGGGCACUAGGUGUGGGUCCCAUCCAACGGGAUCCGUGCCGCAGCUAACGCAUUAAGUGCCCCGCCUGGGGAGUACGGCCGCAAGGCUA